UAGGCUUUAGCUUUAGCAGACUGGCGCGAGACGAUGAUUUAACUUGAGAAAAGCAUUGUGGGAGUUUUGGGUAAAAGUGCGCAGGUGUUGAGAUUGAAAGGGAAGGUCUGGCAUUAAGAGACUACGUUAAGCUGCUUGGUGAAAGAAGCAUGCAGAGACUGCGAUGAGAUCUCCAGCCUGUUGGCGAUGUCCACUGCAGCACGACGCAUGUCUUCAAAGGCCAAGGACUCUUCUCUGAUUCUGCUCCGGAAACACAAACGAUCCAGGUCACAGAGUGAAGGGAAGGAAGAAACAGGGGCAGAUGUGGAGAGAGACGGUAAGCUCAUCACCAACUGCCUGCAACGUGUCAUUGGUGGCCAUUCUCGCAGAAUAAAUGUCAAAGCCUGAACCCCAAUCUCCACUUUGGCAGAGUGUUGGGGUUGCCAUGGAUACCCAGGCCAAGAUGAAGGGCAUCCAACAAUGCCACAUAGUAACCUGAAAAGAGAAGGAGAAACAACCCUCUUCCUUACUAAGACUGGGAAGCCAUUUAUUAAGAAAAGACGA
Molecule: long non-coding RNA, 543 nt
Organism: Sander lucioperca (pikeperch)
Lineage: Eukaryota; Metazoa; Chordata; Actinopteri; Perciformes; Percidae
Exons: 4
Source: RefSeq, a predicted model, not a curated record